RNAcentral lists this ribosomal RNA (460 nucleotides) under Weissella confusa. Its description in RNAcentral is "bacterial SSU rRNA". It matches the Rfam family "Bacterial small subunit ribosomal RNA", at positions 338 to 795 of the family's 1533-position model. Lineage: Bacteria; Bacillati; Bacillota; Bacilli; Lactobacillales; Lactobacillaceae. The record is from RNAcentral.
CCUACGGGGGGCUGCAGUGAGGAAUAUUGGUCAAUGGGCGCAAGCCUGAACCAGCCAUGCCGCGUGCAGGAUGACGGUCCUAUGGAUUGUAAACUGCUUUUAUACGAGAAGAAACACUCCUUCGUGAAGGAGCUUGACGGUAUCGUAAGAAUAAGGAUCGGCUAACUCCGUGCCAGCAGCCGCGGUAAUACGGAGGAUCCAAGCGUUAUCCGGAAUCAUUGGGUUUAAAGGGUCCGUAGGCGGUUAGAUAAGUCAGUGGUGAAAGCCCAUCGCUCAACGGUGGAACGGCCAUUGAUACUGUUUAACUUGAAUUAUUAGGAAGUAACUAGAAUAUGUAGUGUAGCGGUGAAAUGCUUAGAGAUUACAUGGAAUACCAAUUGCGAAGGCAGGUUACUACUAAUGGAUUGACGCUGAUGGACGAAAGCGUGGGUAGCGAACAGGAUUAGAUACCCUAGUAGUC